This is a long non-coding RNA of Pundamilia nyererei, 549 nucleotides long. RefSeq lists it as uncharacterized. The record is from RefSeq and is a predicted model, not a curated record. NCBI's taxonomy places the organism in Eukaryota, Metazoa, Chordata, Actinopteri, Cichliformes, Cichlidae. The transcript has 3 exons.
CACCUGCACUGUGUGGGGGGAUCCACACUACAUCACCUUUGAUGGAGCAGUGGCUCAUUUCCAGGGAACUUGCUCCUACAUCAUCGCUGAGAGCACAAAUCAUGGCACUAACGAAACUCAGUUUCAGGUGAUAGCCACCAACAAUCACCGUGGUAACAACCGUGUGUCAUUUGUGUCAGCAGUGGACAUAUAUCUCUCAAAUCAUCCAGAAAGUGUGUACAUCAGGAUCGGACCCAAUAAAAGAGUAAAUGGAAAUGAUGUUUCUCUUCCCACCACAGUGGGAAUCUUAGCUCAGGUGGUAAGGCAGGGAAGCUACAUAGUGGUUGAUGCCUCUGACUUGCUAGUCCAGUUUGAUGGUCAUAGCACUUUACUGGUCAGACUGGGCCAAAACCGUCAUGACAGAGUCACAGGGAUGUGUGGAAACUCUAACAAUGAUCCUUCAGAUGACAAAGUCUUACCCAAUGGCACACUGGCACAAAAUGAUAAUUAUUUUGGACACAGCUGGAAGUCACCCACCAGCCAACCAGGAUGUGGCUCCACUGAUGAAGA